Molecule: ribosomal RNA, 499 nt
Filed under: uncultured bacterium
Lineage: Bacteria
Description: partial 16S ribosomal RNA
Rfam family: Bacterial small subunit ribosomal RNA
Source: RNAcentral
AUUGAACGCUGGCGGCAUGCUUUACACAUGCAAGUCGAACGGUAACAGGCCGCAAGGUGCUGACGAGUGGCGAACGGGUGAGUAAUGCAUCGGAACGUGCCCAGUCGUGGGGGAUAACGCAGCGAAAGCUGCGCUAACACCGCAUACGAUCUCUGGAUGAAAGCGGGGGACCGAAAGGCCUCGCGCGAUUGGAGCGGCCGAUGUCAGAGUAGUGUAGUUGGUGGGGUAAAGGCCCACCAAGCCAACGAUCUGUAGCUGGUCUGAGAGGACGACCAGCCGACCUGGGUGUGAGACACGGCCCCGACUCCUACGGGAGGCAGCAGUGGGGAAUUGUGCAAAAUGGGCGCAAGCCUAGUCCAGCAAUGCCGCGUGCAGGACGAAGGUCUUCGGGUUGUAAACUGCUUUUGUACGGAACGAAACCGUCCGGGCUAAUACCCUGGGCUAAUGACGGUACCGUAAGAAUCAGCACCGGCUAACUACGUGCCUGCCGCCGCCGUAA